RNAcentral lists this ribosomal RNA (252 nucleotides) under uncultured bacterium. RNAcentral describes it as "partial 16S ribosomal RNA". It matches the Rfam family "Bacterial small subunit ribosomal RNA", at positions 524 to 776 of the family's 1533-position model. The record is from RNAcentral.
UACGUAGGGUGCGAGCGUAAUCGGAAUUACUGGGCGUAAAGCGUGCGCAGGCGGUGAUGUAAGACAGGUGUGAAAUCCCCGGGCUUAACCUGGGAACUGCAUUUGUGACUGCAUCGCUGGAGUGCGGCAGAGGGGGAUGGAAUUCCGCGUGUAGCAGUGAAAUGCGUAGAUAUGCGGAGGAACACCGAUGGCGAAGGCAAUCCCCUGGGCCUGCACUGACGCUCAUGCACGAAAGCGUGGGGAGCAAACAGG